GGUAGGCGGAAUGAGUAAUGUAGCGGUGAAAUGCUUAGAUAUUACUCAGAACACCGAUUGCGUAGGCAGCUUACCAAGCCAUCACUGACGCUGAGGCACGAAAGCGUGGGUAGCAAACAGGAUUAGAUACCCUGGUAGUCCACGCCGUAAACGUUGAUUACUCGUUGUUGGCAAUACACAGUCAGCGACUGAGCAAAAGCAUUAAGUAAUCCACCUGGGGAGUACGUCAGCAAUGAUGAAACUCAAAGGAAUUGACGGGGGCCCGCACAAGCGGAGGAACAUGUGGUUUAAUUCGAUGAUACGCGAGGAACCUUACCUGGGCUUAAAUGUUAAGUGAUCGACCGGGAGACCGGUUUUUCCUUCGGGACACUUUACAAGGUGCUGCAUGGUUGUCGUCAGCUCGUGCCGUGAGGUGUCGGGUUAAGUCCCAUAACGAGCGCAACCCCUAUCGCCAGUUGCCAGCACAUAAUGGUGGGAACUCUGGUGAAACUGCCGGUGCAAACCGUGAGGAAGGUGGGGAUGACGUCAAAUCAGCACGGCCCUUAUGUCCAGGGCUACACACGUGUUACAAUGGUCGGUACAACAGGAAGCCAAUCCGCAAGGAUGAGCUAAUCCCUAAAGCCGAUCUUAGUUCGGAUCGGAGUCUGCAAUUCGACUCCGUGAAGUUGGAUUCGCUAGUAAUCGCAGAUCAGCCAUGCUGCGG
This 703-nucleotide ribosomal RNA is filed under the name uncultured bacterium. RNAcentral describes it as "bacterial SSU rRNA". It matches the Rfam family "Bacterial small subunit ribosomal RNA", at positions 656 to 1362 of the family's 1533-position model. The record is from RNAcentral.